RNAcentral lists this long non-coding RNA (775 nucleotides) under Mytilus galloprovincialis (Mediterranean mussel). The record is from RNAcentral. Lineage: Eukaryota; Metazoa; Mollusca; Bivalvia; Mytilida; Mytilidae.
ACAGUCUUUACUUUAUUUACUUCUAUCUCGAGGCUCUCUACUUUAGCCUAAAAGAGUUCGACCUUUAAAAAAUCGCAUAUAUAUUGACAAUUCUAAGGGCAUAAAAUAAUCGUUUUUUGAAACAAAACAAAGGCAAAAAGUGGCAGUUUAUUUAGUUAAUGAUAGGAAUACAUCGCUUCUUACUGAACAGACACUGAAAAGUUAAUGACAGGAAUACACCGCUUCUUACUGAAAAGUUAAUGACAGGAAUACACCGCUUCUUACUGAAAAGUUAAUGAUAGGAAUACACCGCUUCUUACUGCUUCUUACUGAAAAGUUAAUGAUAGGAAUACACCGCUUCUUACUGAAAAGUUAAUGAUAGAAAUACACCGCUUCUUACUUACUGAACAAACAGUAAAAAGUAAAAUAAAAAAAUACCGAAUUCCGAGGAAAAUUCAAAACGAAAAGUCCCUAAUCAAAUGACAAAAACGAAAGCUCAAAUACAUCAAACGAAUAAAUACACCUGUCAUAUUCCUGACUUGGUACAAGCUUUUUCUGAUGUUGAAUAUGGUGCAUUUAACCUGGUUUUAUAGUUGGCUAAACCUCUCGCUUGUAUGUCAGUCGCAUAAAAUUCCUUUUUAUUGUCAACGAUAUGAGAAAAAAAUAAACAGACAUGUUAGGUAAAAAUGUCAAAAAUAGGGGUACAGCAGUCAACGUUCUGUUUUUAUUUUAAUCAUUAAUAAACAAACAAAUAUGUAAAAAAUAAUCACAAAAAGGCAUAUAGACAAAAAACACA